This 314-nucleotide long non-coding RNA is filed under the name Brassica napus (rape). RNAcentral describes it as "long non-coding RNA (BNAP_LNC017252)". The record is from RNAcentral. Lineage: Eukaryota; Viridiplantae; Streptophyta; Magnoliopsida; Brassicales; Brassicaceae.
CAAACACAAACAAAAGGUUAGUCCACAACUGAACACACAACCUCAAUCACUCCUAAGUUAAUCAGUACAAAAGAUUACUUAGAACCCAACAAUCUCACCAUGAGUCCAAACGGCCAAGUGUGUGGUGAACCAAUAACCCAACAAAUCCUAGAAUCAAGAAGGCUCUUAUACCAACUUGUAAGACCCGAUCCUGGAUUCCCCAAUCCAACCAGACCGCGGCCUCACCAAACAAUGCAACCAGUUUCAUUUACAUAUUCUAGUUCUAGUGUUAAAUAAUUCUAAGUCUUUUUCAGAGUUUUGAGCUUCCAACAUUC